GAAAGAGUGAGGAACGUCCGAGCACCACAGGGCAGAGCGCCGGGUAACACCCGGUGGAGGCGACUUCAAGGAAAGUGCAACAGAAAUAGACCGCAGCUUAGGCUGUAAGGAUGGAAAGGCGAGGUAAGAGCUCACCGGAUCGGUUGGUAACUUCCGAUCCCUGUAAACCCCGCUCGGUGCAAGAUUGAUAUAGGAGCAUUCAAUAGCGGCCCGCUAAGCUCCGUGUAAUCGCUUGAGCCUGCCGGUAACGUCAGGCCUAGAUAGAUGGUCAUCUAAACAGAACUCGGCGUAUGGAUUGUCUCGA
RNAcentral lists this RNase P RNA (304 nucleotides) under bovine gut metagenome. RNAcentral describes it as "Bacterial RNase P class A". It matches the Rfam family "Bacterial RNase P class A", at positions 35 to 364 of the family's 367-position model. From Rfam's summary of the family: Ribonuclease P (RNase P) is a ubiquitous endoribonuclease, found in archaea, bacteria and eukarya as well as chloroplasts and mitochondria. Its best characterised activity is the generation of mature 5'-ends of tRNAs by cleaving the 5'-leader elements of precursor-tRNAs. The record is from RNAcentral.